UUUAAUUCAAUUUUGUUUCGAUGCAGUUCCGUACGAGAAUUGCAGGUUGUCAAAAUUAUGCUUAUGUAGAGGGAGCCUAGGUAGAAUAGUGUUAUGAAGUACAAAUGUAAAUUGAACGGUCUGAAGACAGCCAAACAGCAAACUUUAAUGAGCCGAAUUUCUUAUCUCCACUGAAUGGCAAGCCAACAAUAUCACGGAUCGCCCAUGGGGAAGAUGGAAAAAUCGAAGAUUUUCCUUAUGUCGUCAGACUCUACCAUCCGAAAGUUGUGUGCACCGGUGCAAUCAUCAGUGCUUCUUGGGUUUUGACCGCAGCGCACUGCAUUAUAGAUGGGUACAAGCAGGCUUUGAUGAUAACAGUUCUACCACCGUUCAAACACGAAUGCCUAUUAAGUCAAUUCGACAUGAAUUAUACAACGGUUUAGUUUCUGGUUACGAC
This is a long non-coding RNA of Cimex lectularius (bed bug), 436 nucleotides long. RefSeq lists it as uncharacterized. Lineage: Eukaryota; Metazoa; Arthropoda; Insecta; Hemiptera; Cimicidae. The record is from RefSeq and is a predicted model, not a curated record. The transcript is spliced from 3 exons.